This 301-nucleotide ribosomal RNA is filed under the name uncultured bacterium. RNAcentral's name for it is "partial 16S ribosomal RNA". It matches the Rfam family "Bacterial small subunit ribosomal RNA", at positions 509 to 809 of the family's 1533-position model. The record is from RNAcentral.
CAGUAGCCGCGGGAAUACGAAGGGGGCUAGCGUUGUUCGGAUUUACUGGGCGUAAAGGGUGCGUAGGCGGAUUGUUAAGUCAGGGGUGAAAUCCCGAGGCUCAACCUCGGAACUGCCUUUGAUACUGGCGAUCUUGAGUCCGGGAGAGGUGAGUGGAACUGCGAGUGUAGAGGUGAAAUUCGUAGAUAUUCGCAAGAACACCGGUGGCGAAGGCGGCUCACUGGCCCGGAACUGACGCUGAGGCACGAAAGCGUGGGGAGCAAACAGGAUUAGAUACCCCGGUAGUCCCUGUCUCUUAUAA